UAGUCCACGCCGUAAACGAUGUUCACUCGCUGUUGGCGAUAUACUGUCAGCGGCCAAGCGAAGGCAUUAAGUGAACCACCUGGGGAGUACGAUCGCAAGGUUGAAACUCAAAGGAAUUGACGGGGGCCCGCACAAGCGGUGGAGCAUGUGGUUUAAUUCGAUGAUACGCGAGGAACCUUACCAGGGCUUAAAUGUAGUAUGACAGACUGAGAGAUCGGUUUUUCUUCGGACAUAUUACAAGGUGCUGCAUGGUUGUCGUCAGCUCGUGCCGUGAGGUGUCAGGUUAAGUCCUAUAACGAGCGCAACCCCUGUUGUUAGUUGCCAUCGAGUAAUGUCGGGAACUCUAACAAGACUGCCGGUGCAAACCGCGAGGAAGGUGGGGAUGACGUCAAAUCAUCACGGCCCUUACGUCCUGGGCCACACACGUGCUACAAUGGUAGGUACAGAGAGCAGCCACGUCGCGAGGCGGAGCGAAUCUAUAAAACCUAUCUCAGUUCGGAUCGG
This 504-nucleotide ribosomal RNA is filed under the name uncultured bacterium. RNAcentral describes it as "bacterial SSU rRNA". It matches the Rfam family "Bacterial small subunit ribosomal RNA", at positions 791 to 1301 of the family's 1533-position model. The record is from RNAcentral.